UACGAAGGGGGCUAGCGUUGCUCGGAAUCACUGGGCGUAAAGCGCACGUAGGCGGUCUCUUAAGUCAGGGGUGAAAUCCUGGAGCUCAACUCCAGAACUGCCUUUGAUACUGGGAGACUUGGAGUCCGGGAGAGGUGAGUGGAAUUCCUAGUGUAGAGGUGAAAUUCGUAGAUAUUAGGAAGAACACCAGUGGCGAAGGCGGCUCACUGGCCCGGUACUGACGCUGAGGCGCGAAAGCGUGGGGAGCAAACAGG
RNAcentral lists this ribosomal RNA (254 nucleotides) under uncultured bacterium. RNAcentral's name for it is "partial 16S ribosomal RNA". It matches the Rfam family "Bacterial small subunit ribosomal RNA", at positions 524 to 776 of the family's 1533-position model. The record is from RNAcentral.